UACAGUGCCCGCUAGCGGUAACAUUUCUAGCUUGCUAGAAGAUGACGAGCGGCGGACGGGUGAGUAAUGCUUGGGAACAUCGCCUUUAGGUGGGGGACAACCAUUGGAAACGAUGGCUAAUACCGCAUAAUGUCUACGGACCAAAGGGGGCUUCGGCUCUCGCCUUUAGAUUGGCCCAAGUGGGAUUAGCUAGUUGGUGAGGUAACGGCUCACCAAGGCGACGAUCCCUAGCUGGUUUGAGAGGAUGAUCAGCCACACUGGAACUGAGACACGGUCCAGACUCCUACGGGAGGCAGCAAGUGGGGAAUAUUGCACAAUGGGCGCAAGCCUGAUGCAGCCAUGCCGCGUGUGUGAAGAAGGCCUCCGGGUUGAC
Molecule: ribosomal RNA, 373 nt
Filed under: uncultured Gammaproteobacteria bacterium
Lineage: Bacteria; Pseudomonadati; Pseudomonadota; Gammaproteobacteria
Description: bacterial SSU rRNA
Rfam family: Bacterial small subunit ribosomal RNA
Source: RNAcentral